RNAcentral lists this ribosomal RNA (253 nucleotides) under uncultured bacterium. RNAcentral's name for it is "partial 16S ribosomal RNA". It matches the Rfam family "Bacterial small subunit ribosomal RNA", at positions 524 to 776 of the family's 1533-position model. The record is from RNAcentral.
UACGUAGGGUGCAAGCGUUGUCCGGAAUUAUUGGGCGUAAAGAGCUCGUAGGCGGUCUGUCGCGUCGGAUGUGAAAAUCCAGGGCUCAACCCUGGACCUGCAUUCGAUACGGGCAGACUAGAGUUCGGCAGGGGAGACUGGAAUUCCUGGUGUAGCGGUGAAAUGCGCAGAUAUCAGGAGGAACACCGGUGGCGAAGGCGGGUCUCUGGGCCGAUACUGACGCUGAGGAGCGAAGGCGUGGGGAGCAAACAGG